This 1055-nucleotide ribosomal RNA is filed under the name Triticum aestivum (bread wheat). RNAcentral describes it as "partial small subunit ribosomal RNA". The record is from RNAcentral. Lineage: Eukaryota; Viridiplantae; Streptophyta; Magnoliopsida; Poales; Poaceae.
CACUCACCCUCAGAGGUUCACUCACUGGAUUUUUUGUUUUCUUAGGCGGACCAACGGACGCCGCUACCGCCGCGAGGCGAGGCGCCGCUCCUCCCAGGAGCCGCCGGUCCGUGGCGCCUGCCAGAUGUCCCGCUGGAAGCGCCUCCUCGCUGUCGCAGACAGCGGCCGCAAGUAGUUCCGGCGAAGCAGGCAGGUAGGAGCGGCGAAGAGUAGCGUCCCACCGCUACUACUAGGCGAGUGUAGACUUCUCUUUUACUCUGAUAAAUUUUCCCCGCGAGUGAACUAGAAGUCCUACUGUUUUCGGUAGAGGUGGCAACACCGGACGCCUUAUCAGUAGUUCACCAGUCAUUGUCUCCACAAGGCAGGAAUGGGCUGUUCGCUAACACGUGCACGACAAGCGUUUACGGCACUCUACGAUGUCCCAGAUGCCCCGUUGGGAGGUCGUAACCUCCAACCAGGACACGACCCACUACUCUACGACCGCCGCCUCCACCGCCUCAAGUUCAGGUACCACUUCCUAUACUUCGCCCUUCGUCGCCUCUCUGACCUCCUAACUCAGUUCGACCCUUCUAUACGUGGACCAAGAGUUCGAUAGUACUGGUAACACAGACAACAUACCUAAGGAUACCAGAUACACUUUGAGGAAAGUUCGAACUAGGCCCUGAAAACACGAGGCGUCGCACGCUGUAGCUUUGUUACUUUUAACCUUCAGAAAACACAACAACAGAAGAGGUUGGUAGACUCUUCCCUGGUUACAUACUCUUCCUCCGAAACGACCUACACUCCUCUACAACGACGAGGACCUACACUCACCUAGAACGUUCAAACGCUGAUAUGACAAUGGUUCCUGUACUUCUUAAGCCAGCUUCGGAGAAAUACUUUACGUACCAAUGACCUCGCGAGGUACAAACAGAUCAACGUACAACACCAACGUCGACUUCUUGGAAGAGGAGGUGCCCAAUCAAGUACUGAUGACACUUACAAAAACAAGCGCUAACAUUUACGCUUCGAGGUCCCGCACAACUGUUCUCCUACAUAGUGCUUGACGACUGUGG